This is a non-coding RNA of Schizosaccharomyces pombe (fission yeast), 412 nucleotides long. The record is from the annotation of a GenBank genome assembly. Lineage: Eukaryota; Fungi; Ascomycota; Schizosaccharomycetes; Schizosaccharomycetales; Schizosaccharomycetaceae.
AAGCUCAGUAUUAGGAAGAACCAUAUUCACAAAUGUAACCUCAUAAUGCUUAACACGCUCAGGAACGUUUUGUGCAGCAUAAGUUUCAACAAAUCUACGAGCAGCAGCAGAAGUAUACAUACCAUGGGUAAUACCAUGAGUACCAGGAAGUUCAACAAAUGCAGCGAAUGUAGGAGAAACAUGAAUAGGAUUGUAAUCACCAGACACCUCUGCAUAAGGCGAGUUAGUAGGAGGAGUAACAAAGACAGGUGAGUAUCCCUCAUCCAUGACUUGAAUUACACUGUAACCACCAUUUUCAAACUCGACGGGCUGCUCAAUAGGCUUACCGUUACGCUUCAAGAAUUCGAUGACAGGAUUGCCAUGGCAAUCGACGGAUUGAAAAUCGACAGAAGCGACUUGGAUGAUAGCUUUU